ACGCUCGACACCUACGGGAGGAGCAGUUGGGAAUAUUGGACAAUGGAGGAAACUCUGAUCCAGUGACGCCGCGUGAAGGAAGAAGGUCUUCGGAUUGUAAACUUAUUUUGUCAGGGAAGAAAAAUGACUGUACCUGAAGAAAAAGCACCGGCUAACUACGUGCCGACAGCCGGCCGGUAAGUACUGAGGCGGGCGUGGCGAAGGACG
RNAcentral lists this ribosomal RNA (207 nucleotides) under uncultured bacterium. RNAcentral's name for it is "partial 16S ribosomal RNA". It matches the Rfam family "Bacterial small subunit ribosomal RNA", at positions 328 to 544 of the family's 1533-position model. The record is from RNAcentral.